Molecule: ribosomal RNA, 222 nt
Filed under: Vibrio alginolyticus
Lineage: Bacteria; Pseudomonadati; Pseudomonadota; Gammaproteobacteria; Vibrionales; Vibrionaceae
Also listed under: 1 other name
Description: partial 16S ribosomal RNA
Rfam family: Bacterial small subunit ribosomal RNA
Source: RNAcentral
AAAUUGAAGAGUUUGAUCAUGGCUCAGAUUGAACGCUGGCGGCAGGCCUAACACAUGCAAGUCGAGCGGAAACGAGUUAUCAGAACCUUCGGGGGACGAUAACGGCGUCGAGCGGCGGACGGGUGAGUAAUGCCUAGGAAAUUGCCCUGAUGUGGGGGAUAACCAUUGGAAACGAUGGCUAAUACCGCAUGAUGCCUACGGGCCAAAGAGGGGGACCUUCGG